Molecule: long non-coding RNA, 1489 nt
Organism: Leptinotarsa decemlineata (Colorado potato beetle)
Lineage: Eukaryota; Metazoa; Arthropoda; Insecta; Coleoptera; Chrysomelidae
Source: RefSeq, a predicted model, not a curated record
UAUUGGUCACGUCACAUAAGUGACAUAACUACCGUUCGUGUUGGCAAAUGUGUGGUAAUUUUAGGGGAAGUACAUGAAGUGGUUUGAUCAUUCAUAGACGAAAUGUAACAAGUUUUUUUGUAAUUAUAUAUAUUUUUCUGCAUCACGUUUAUCUUAUCCAAAAGCUGAAUUUAAUGUAAAAGCAAUUGUUCAAAUUUUGAACAACCUCAACCCGUUGACGUACCCCUCUCAUACUGGGUAUUUACUGUAGAAGUGCUCAAAGGAAUUGAUUAUUUCAAUUGAAAUCGAAAGAACUAUCGAAAUGGUUUUUCAGUUCAACCCACUGGUUUUCGGUGCUAUGUUAGUGGUAGCACUAGGGACUGCAGCUUACACAUAUUUCUCAAAUCGUCAGACUCAGAGCUAUGAAGCUCCCCAGAGUCAUGCCUAUGCUCCUACGAAAGAGCCCCCAAGAAAAAGGAAGAAUGUUGGUGAAUGCAGGAUCUGCUCAAGAAAAUUGGUGGGUCCAACGAAAACAUUACCCUGCAGGCAUGAGUUUCAUAUUGAAUGUAUCAACCGUAAAACUUGUCCGUUGUGCACAUACAGCAGGCGAAUGUAAUGAAAUUACAUUAGUUUCGAAAGUGACAGAGGCAAUAGUUUAUUACAGUUUUAUGGAACGAUAGGCAUAUCUUUUCUAAUCAUUGAGUUGAACGUUAAUUGGUGGGAUUUUAUUAGAUCUUGAACAGCAAAAUAUUGAAUGCAUUAAGUAUAGAACUAAAACAACACAAAAUUAAUAUUCUCAAAUUGAAAUGCAGAAAAGAUUGAUAAAUGUAUUUAGAUCAAUUCACGAGUUAAUUUAUUUAAACAGUUUCACUUUGUAUCUGGUAAUUUUUGGCAUUGUACAAAACUCUUUCAACAUAAACUGAAUAAUACGUUUUUGACAAUUGAAAUUUUGAUGGAUCUGACUGUAUAACUUGUUUCUCUUGAUUAUAUUGAGUUUUAAGUAUAAUUAAGAAUAAACUGAAAUUAAUUAUUUUAAGAACUUGUAAAGUUUACAAAAUUUAUCUUAUUGAGGUAUUCACAUGAAGGUCUGUAAUUAUCUGUAAUUUUCAAAAAAUGCUCUGACAAGGGCUGAUACAUUUUAUUGGUUUUUGAAAGUGUGAAUAUAAAUAUCAAAAAGUAAUGAAAUGAAACUUAAGCAUAAGGAGAAAUACAUUUAUGAUUGAAAUUUUGACAUUUCUCUCCUAUUAUCAGAAGUAACAUGAGGAAUGAUUUUCACCAAUACUGUUUUUUAGUAUAUCAUUAAUACAGCUUUUCUUGGUUUUGUUUAGUUAUAAGAAAAUUCAUUAUAGUAGUUUUAAGAUAACACCAACAUUUCAUUUGAAUAAGUUAAGUAUAUUUUAUGAUUCUACUAGAUCAUAGCGAUAUUUUUAGAAUACCCGAUAUAUUUGAGUUUGAUAAUUAAAUUGUUAAUAACUGAUAUUAUAAAAUCAAGCCUUAUUGAAAAACGUUA